This 433-nucleotide ribosomal RNA is filed under the name uncultured bacterium. RNAcentral's name for it is "partial 16S ribosomal RNA". It matches the Rfam family "Bacterial small subunit ribosomal RNA", at positions 29 to 507 of the family's 1533-position model. The record is from RNAcentral.
AACGAACGCUGGCGGCAUGCCUAACACAUGCAAGUCGAACGAGACCUUCGGGCCUAGUGGCGCACGGGUGCGUAACGCGUGGGAACCUGCCCUUAGGUUCCGAAUAACUCCCCGAAAGGGGUGCUAAUACCGGAUAGUGUCUUAGGACCAAAGAUUUAUCGCCUUUGGAUGGGCCCGGGUUGGAUUCGCGAGUUGGUAGGGUAAAAGCCUACCAAGGGGAGGAUGCAUAGCUGGUGUGAGAGGAUGAUUAGCCACGCUGGGACUGAGACACGGCCCAGACUCCUACGGGGGGGAGCAGUGGGGAAUAUUGGACGAGGGGGGAAAGCCUGAUCCAGCAGUGCGGCGGGAGUGAUGAAGGCCUUAGGGUUGUAAAGCUCUUUUAGCCGAGAUGAUAAUGACAGUACCGGGAGAAUAAGCUCCGGCUAACUCCGUG